Molecule: long non-coding RNA, 10249 nt
Organism: Ailuropoda melanoleuca (giant panda)
Lineage: Eukaryota; Metazoa; Chordata; Mammalia; Carnivora; Ursidae
Exons: 10
Source: RefSeq, a predicted model, not a curated record
GCGCCUCCGCCCGCCAGCCGCUCCCGCAUUAAAAUUUCAUGGGCGCUGCAGCAGCUUACAAAGACUACGCCGGCUGCGCUCGGGGGACCGGAGGGAGGGAGGCUGCGGACGAGUGCGGGGAGGAGUUUGCGAUGGGAGGCGCUUGCAGGGGCUCCCCCAGUUCUGCGCCGUGAGCCCGGGCACAAAGAGCCCUCUGCACUCGCGCCGCAGGACCGCGGACCCGAGGGCGCACAUGCCUUCCCGGGGUCUUUUCCCAUUUCACCCCCAUCCUGUAUUUGAACACAAGUCGUCCCCCCCUUUGGGGUUCAACAAGCCUGUAUAGAAUCCACUUGCCCCAUUUCUUGCUGGGUGAUGUUGGAGCAAGACACUUGGAGCCUGAUUCCUCAUCUGUAAAAUGGGGACAAGAAACCCCAGUAUAUUCUUUUGUCCGAUAAGAAGACAGGCCCAGAGCCGUGGUGCACAUGCUGGGCGUGGCACAGAAGGACAGAACCCCGGGCCAUCAAGCCUAGGUCCCGUCCAAUGCGUUAAGAUGUUGAGUGACAGCCGGACGCGUCUCCCUGCCCAACCUUUGGGUUCCAGACCUGCCGACGUGACCACCACGAGCCUAACGGCAUCAAAGCAACAACCAAGAUCAAUCGUUCAAUCCUUUUUUGGGUCUGACUUCAUGGAAGUAUGGUGUAAAUGAAGGAAUCUUCAUUUCAAGUGCACAGUUCGGUGAUUUUUGGCAAAUCUACCAAGUUGCGCACCCAUCGCCAUAAAGCCAUUUUGGGAUUUCCCCUGCCCUGGUUUGCCUUUUCUGGACAUUUCACAUACAUGGGGUCAAACAGCAUGUGGGCUUUUGUGUUUGGCUUUCACUCACGUAUUACAUCUUCGAGGUGAAAACAAUUUUGGGAGCACUCACCGUGUGCUAGGCACCGGCUAAAACUUGGAGAAUAAUGAACGUUGAGUCGCACAUCGGAGUGCAGCAAGGUCCUGGGACAGAGGAGAGAGAAGGGGAUUUCCAAAUUCUUCCUGAACAUUCCUGAUCACCUCCGGGAAGCAGGCUUGCAGAUAAGUAUUUCAACUUACCAGCCCACAGCCUACCCGCCUGCCCUCCCUCGGUCUGUGCAGGGAAGCGUAGAACUUCAGAAUUCCCGUGCGGGAGGGGAAAGGGGUGAUCAGCUUUUCUAGCCCUCUAGGUUACAAACAAAGACCUUGUCCGCAUUUCAUGGGGCCCCAGAGAGGGUGAUCGUCACGCCCCUGUUUGACACGGAGGCUAGAAUUUUGUCAGUUCCACCAUCAGCAACUACCACAGACUUGAGUUCAAUGACCUCAUCCCGAGAACCCAUAGAUCUAGGUGUCAGAAGGAGUCAGAAGGGGACUGGGGACUCCUGGUGACUCUUCCCAGUGCUGGCCCUUUGUCGUCAUAAUUGUAAAACUUGGCCCAGGGCUCCUUUACCUGGCAGUGGAGCAGGGACACUGGCACUGUGACUCCAGGCCCGUAUUCUUUCCUCCAGGUCUGGACCUGUGCACUGAGUCCCAGGGGCCCAGAGCAAGCUCUGAACACACACUGAGAGGUGCCCUGACUCUCCUGGCCCAGCCCUGCCAGCGAGUGAAGAUAGCUUAGCCGUCACCAGAACCAAAACCGAGAGAGGAUUCUGGGUCAGCAUUAGCAGGCAUUCAAUGGGGGCAGAAAAGUAUCUAAGGCUGAGCCAUAGGGCCCCCCUAUUUCCUCUUCUCUGCUUCACACUGUGGGUUAGUAUUGUGUGCUCUGGGUGAAUGCAGGUCUGGAAGGAUCCCAGGGCGCAGAGAGAGAGAGAGAGAGAGAGAGAGAGAGAGGGACAGACUUCCCAGGGCUACACAGGAUGGCUGAGCUGGAUCAGAACCCCGGAUUCCUGACUCUGUUCACUGCUUCCGCUCAGCUGUUGCCAAGCUGAAUUUGUCUUACGUUGUCCUGGGCCCCUUCUGCUAUUGUUGGGGAACAGGGAGGGGGGUGAGGGAGACCCCCUUAUCCCAAGGACAUUCUGGGGUGGGAGGAAGGGAGGCAGAGGGGCGUGUGCCUGGGCCGCCUUCUUGUUAGCAGAGACUUCUGGCCAGGCCCGGGCCUGCGGAGGGGGCCUGGGUGCAGUUUUCUCCUGCGGCGUGGUUGGCUCUUUUGUCUUCCAGAAUGGGAUCUGCAUGGGAAAGGAGCUGGGAGCUGGGCCUGGGCUGCCCACGUGUUGGCUGGGCGCUGCCAGCACAAACACGGACCAAGCACCUUCUCCAAGCUGGAUCCGGGGGUUCCGGAGCUGAGCUCCAGAGACACGGUUCUACCCUCUCAGGGGGCUCUGUGUGGCCACAUCUCCAGGACUCCUGGCCUGGUCUUCUCUUUGGAGCCCGGGUGACUCUGGACUCUGGACACAGGGAGCAGCCUUUGGUGGUUUCCUGGAACUCUGGACAAUUCCCCAAAGACCUCAUCUUUCCCAACUGCUAAGACGGAGCCCCCUGCGGAUAAAGGGCCCUCCUGGUUGGCGCUCGGCUGAGGACAGGCCCUGGCUCUGCAGGGCAGCUUGAGGGAGGGGGGUGAGGGAGGCCGGCAGGCCACUGCCCCUCCAUGUCCACCUGGACCCUGCCUGUUGGACCUUACUGUCUGUGCCUGGAGGCCACGUCUUGACCCUGUGCUGACUUGAUACCUCUCUGCAGACCUGCUCGAGGCCAGCCGGAGCUCCACCUGGGCCAAGGCCCUGCUGACUACACCUUACCAAGGCUGGGUCCCAACGGACCCUCCAGGACGGGGCAGGACCACACGGAUGGGAGUCAGGGUGGAGCUGCCUAGUGGGAGGGAGGCAGACCCAGCUUCUUGGGCUCCGUCGGCUGGAGUCUGUCUUGCGCCGUUUGCCUUGAGCGUUUCUCCUUUUUGUGGGUGCUUUCUGGAUGAGGCUUUUCUGUGCUUCUCCUCUGCCUGAUGGUGACACGGAGGAGGCAGGCAGGGUCUGGGAGGAGCCUGGGCCUUCCCCCAGUGUGGUCGGGUUCUGGGGGACAGCUGGAGGGGCAGAAGGUGUGCUAUCCUGAAAGGGGAGGGUUUGCGAGACAUGAGGAGGCCCAGGCCAGGGGAGCUUGCCAGAGGGAGACAGAAACUGGGCCCUGUUCCCACCGUCCAAAAGGAACAGGCUGGAUCCGGCCUUGUUCCCAGGAUCGAGGGGUCAGGUCACCCCAGCCGGAUCUCAGAUCUCUGCUCCUUGUUGCACGGAUCUUUGAUUCUGUCCUUGGGGGGCAAGGCAGGCAGGGUAGGCCCCAGGCACAUGCAGCCCUCCCCUGUCACAUGGCUGCACGUUCACCUCCCUGUGCCCGUCUCCAUUCUCCACUCAGUCCAGCCUGGCUCUGGAGUCCAGUGUUUGCCCAGGAGUAGCCCAUGGGCUUCCAUAGGCAAGUUUAAAAGCUGGGCAUUCUUUUCCCAGGGUGGAGAGGGAGCCUGUAUUAGCUUGAGCUGCCCUAACAGCAGACCACAGCCCGGAAGGGGGGCUUAAAGAGCAGAAAUGUGUUUUCUCAUAAUUCUGGUAGCUAGAAGUCCAAGAUCAUGGUGCGUGUGAGGGGUGGUUUCUCCCGAGGCCUCUCUCGUCAGCUUGUAGACAGCCACCUUCUCACUGUGUCCUCACCCAGCCUUUUCUCUGUGCGCAUUUGAGGCGGAGGGAGGAGGAGGUGUCUGGUGUCUCUUCUGCUUUUUCUAAGGAUGCCAGUCCUAUCGGAGGAGGGGCCCACUCUUAGAGCCUCUUUGAGCCUUACUUUCCUCCGUAAAAGUCCCAUUCCCGAAUACGGUCGUGUUGGGGGUGAUGGCGGCAACCUAUGAAUUUGGGGGGACACGAUCCAGUCCACACAGAUGGUCACCAGAAAUGUGGAAAGCGGGAGCCCUCUUCCCCUCAGCCGCCCCACAGCCAUGGAGAGAGCAAGGGAGAGCAGAGGGAUGGGAAGUAGGGACUCAGUGUGGGAGGCACUGCCCGAGGAUGGUCCCCGGGCUUUAGGGACACAUGGAACUGGCUGGACCAGGGCAGCGUGCAGGACCCCCAGGAGAAGGAUGUCCUGGGAAGAGCCUAAGCUUUGGAGCCAGAGGGUGUGUCCCCUGCUGCACAGUCUUGGGCAAGUCAUCUCACCUCUGUGAGUCUGAUGGCCACUCUGGAACAGAAGCCAUCCGCUCACCUGGGUGGCGCAGGGGGGAGUCCGUGAAGGCACGUGCCUGCACAGUGCCAGGCUCCUAGCAGCUUGCUCACUAAACACGCCCAUCCCUGUGGUGGUUUAGAUUUCGGGCUUAUCUAUUUUCAGUGCCCUGGAACUGCCGAAUCGGCAUCUUCUGAUCCAGAGAUACUUCUGAUGAGCCCUUCCCCUGCCUGCUUUCUUAAUAUCCAUCUCGAAUCAGCUUGGGGAGGUGGCUGCACUUUAUUGCUUCCUGCAUAGCUCCAAAUGCCUCCUGGGGUACCCUCUCAUCAGGAGUGAGCACCUACUGUGGGCCCUUUCCUGGGCUGGUCGCUUGCAGGGGGGAUAUUGGUGAGGCUCUAUGAUUGAAACCUUCAGGAUGGCACAGCCAAACAAUUGCAACUGGAGAAUUGGAGAAGGGAGCAGAGAAGAGUCCACUGAGGCACAGGAUCUGAGUGUUUGGAGGUGGGGUGGGGUGGGAGUAAGGUCCCAGAAUGACCUCUACAGGCUUCCCAGAAAGGCUGAAUCAACCAGGGCCUCAAAGGAUGAGAGAGAUGUGGCUUAGCUGACAGCUUCCAGGUCCCUGGAAGAGAUUCCCAAAGUAAGUUGUAGGAGGUGUCAUUGCUCUUGGAAAACAAAAAAAGAAAAAGAAAGAAAGGAAAGGAAAAGGGAGUUCAAAUUCAACCAGUUUCUAAAACGCAGGACUUAUCAGAGCCUUUAAAGUGCCGAUGGGAAUUUUGAGUACUCUAGGACAGACAGGGUUAAGUGUUCUCCCCUUUUAUGGCAACAGAGCCCUUUUCUUACGGGGCAUCAUUUAGAACUGAGGGGGCCAUUGGGUGGGGCUUCUGUGGGGAUAGGAGAUGACACAGCCUGACACACUUGGGGGGAGAGGGGGCCUUUGUAGCAGUGGCUGGAAAAGGCAGCACACCAGGAGGGGCCGGGGAGUUGGAAAUCGGUUCUAGGAGUCAGUUGAGCUCCAUGCAGUUUUGGUGUGGCGGGAGGCGGGCGAGGGGGGCAGGCCAGUGGUCGGAGUAGCUGGAAGCCUGGCACGUGCUGGAGGAGGUGUCCACUGGACAUGGUACCUCUGGACUUGAUGUCACUGGGGCAUCAAACCUUUUGGGAGAAGGUGCUGGUGUGUGUGUGUGUGCCUGAGCGUGACAGGAUCCAGCCUUCUGGGAAGGGGCUGACCAGAACCAGGCAGGGGUUUCCGGCCAGGACCAGCAGGGUCUAUUUUCAGGGGAAUCGAAGAAGUGUUUUGGGGGAGAGCCCCUGAGCUCCACAGCCGAGAAAUCAGGAAGAAAAACGCUCUGGGGCAGGGUCCAGGCAUAAGCUUGAUUCUGGUGGGGCUGGGGAGCUGGAGGCGGACCCCCUGCCCUGGUCAGGCCCCGCUCCCGGGCUGGUGGGGGCGGGAGGCCUCCGGAGCUGCAGCUGAGGGCCCGGCGCAGUGCUGCAUGGUGUGAUUAACCUACUAACCCAGGGCUCGGCCGGGACGCUGUGGCGUGUGACGAGGUGCCUGGCCUUCCGCCAACCAACUAACCCACUAACCCGGGCCGAGCAUGCCCUACUAACCCCCUGCAGCCAGACCCUACUAACUUGCAGCUCGUGGGCCUUUCGAGGGGCUGGGACGCGGGGGCCGACGGCGCUCCAGAAGGCCCUGCCCGUGGCCUGGGAUCUCUGUGCAGACCCACAUUCCAGGACAGGGCUCUCAAGUACGACUCGCCAAGUCUGCCACUUCCUGCUGAACGAUUUUGAACAAGUCACCUAACCUCUCUGAACCCGUUUCCUCAGCAGCAGAAUGGGACUGUGAUCUUUGCCUCACAGGCUGCUGUGAGAAUUCGCAUAUGAAUGUAAAGUUCUUGACACAUGGCAGAUACUUAAAAAAAAAAAUGUGGGGGUGGGGGCGGGGCUGGGAGGCCCAGAAAACCGGAGCGAUCAUGUCCCCUGCCUUGGUCCUGGUCCUUCUGGGUGUUCUGCACACAGACCCUUCUGCCCGGGGCCAGACACUCGCUUUGAACCCUGUCUCUUCCCCACAUUCUUCCUCGUUCUAAGCUUUCUUUUCCGUAGGCAGCUCUUUUGUUCGAUUACUAACCUGUCUAACCCGGGGGUGCCUCAACUGCAGCCCACGCAUCCCUUAACCAACUAAUGGACCUGUGUGUGUUCUUCCUUUUCUCCUAGUGACUCCUGUGUGUGUCUGCUGAGGUGCCCCCGUCCGCUGGUGCUGUGCUCUGACUUACUAACCCAGCCCCUACUAACCUCGUUUUCUCUUCUUACUAACCCCCGGCCCUGCCGAGCUCUGGGCACCCCUCCUUUCGGCAAGCAGAGUUCCUGGGGCUGGUCCUGCAGACAGAUGCCCCACUUUGCUGCCCCAAUUGGCUGUGAUUUCAGAGUCCCCUGGGGGCCAGGUCUAAGGCAGGGGCCGCCCUAUUAACCACGCCAGGGGCCCAGAGGAGGAGGCGGUCAUGCGGCCGUACGAGCGCAAGCAUCUCUCUUCUGGGCGGAAGUCUGGAAGCCACGGGGAGUGGGCGGGACCAGGGAAACCUCUGGGGUGUGAGUGUGGAGGCCUGUGGGUCUAGAGCAUGGAGACCUGGGCUCUUCCCAGCCAAGGGCCAGAGAGAAGGGGCUUGUGCGUCCCCCUUUGGAGGGAAACGAGGGUGAAGUUCAGGUAGAAGCAUGGUUCUGGACAGGAAGUCAGUAGGAGGCGUGUCCCGCCCCGGAAGUCAGUGAAAGGGGGCGUAGCCCACACCGGAAGUCAGUAAGAGGGUUCCCUGUGUAGGAAGUCAAUGCAAGGGGUCUUUUCCGCCCUGAGAAUCGCUGAGUGGAGCACUUAGUACAGGAAGUCAGCCGGCCAGAGGGGCAUUUCUUACACCAGAAGUCAGUAAGAGGGGUUUCUCACCUUAUCACUAGACAUGAGAAGGAAUGGCCAAGAAUCAGAAGGGCCCUUCCUACAACGGCAGUUGGCUAGAGGGGCCCUUCCCUUCCCUGAAGCUGGGGGAGCCGAGUUCCCCACACCGGAAGGAGAUAUGGGCUAUGUUUCACACUGAAAGUCAUCGGGAAGUGCUGUCCACAUCAGGAAACUUGGGAAGGUAGGGAAGAAAACAGACCCUGUGUUCAGGGGUUCGCAGGGGGAGGAAGUGGGAAGCAAGACGUGAACCCCAGGGCCCCACAGGGUCCUGCAGUCGCUCAGGGCCAACCAGAAAUUCAUCCCCGGCUCCCUGUCCUGUUCCCGCCCAUGGCCCUGCCCCAGCUUGCCUUCCCCAGAGCCCGCCAGCCGCUUCGCCAGGGCCACACCUGGGGGUGAUUUUAUGCCUCACCUCCAGUAGGCACCUUGGUCUGUCUCUGUGGGCUAAUCUCUGGCUCCUUUGCACUAACUCUUGCUCUCACCCAGCUAAUCCCUGCCUCGCCCUGGCUGCCGCUCGGGGGUUGUCCACUAACAGCCAACCCUGCCCAUCCGGGGGCGCCAGGCUCCGGGCCUGGCUCUGAGUGGCUCUUAAUUAACCUCUCCUUCACCUUGACUAACUCCUGCCCUCCUGGUCUGUUCCUUUCAGCGGAAACUAACGGCUUGUGGACUUCUUUCUGACUAACAACAGGUCUAACACUCCUUGUUACUGUUACUAUUAACAGCUUGGAUGUCGGCAUGGCUGGGAUGGGGCUAACGCAGGUUUGGAAACCUGACUAACCCAGGAGGAGGUGUAGCUGGUAGUGUUGGACUUGGUGUCUGCUCUGGUUACAGCUGUCUGUAGUCAGUAAAGAUCGAAGGAUUCUAACGGAGGUGCAAGGGCCGGGGUGUGGCCCAGGCGCGGGUGGGGUCAGAAGCAUAGUCAGCCGUCCAAGGUUUUAGCCACUGGACAUAUCCCAUCAACCUCUAAUAAUCUGCAUAUGGGUUUUGGUUCUUUUAAAUAACCUUACAGCUGCCAUAGUCCAAACGGAUGGCUACAGCUUUUGCGGACUUUGAAACAUCUGUCUGGUGUGUACAGAGCAUAUGCCAUUAUGCAUGGCAUCAUCGGUCACCAGGCCAGGACCUAGACUCCUUGAUUUCGGGACUUCAGGGAUUUUGAAGUCCCAGGACAUGAAGCUUUAGACCUGAGUAUUCAGAAGGGUUCUGAUUCCAUCACCCAUUUACACUUUAGUGUAAAUUAGCUCAGCUUCCUAUUUUGUCUUUUAUGCAGUGUAGCUGUACUGAGAUGUGAGUUUAGCUGGAAGGGGUUUGGACUGCUUCAGGGCUGGGAGAGGGUCCUUUGGGAGCAGAAAAGGGGAGCCAUGGGGCCGGGGGAUCCUGGCUGGGGGUAAAAGGUAGCAUCAAGUCGAGAUGAGGAUGGGAAGAGGGACCAUUUUGCUGGCCUAGUCUGGUAGUCUGGUUCUGUGGGAGAGAGUAGUUCAUGGUAGGGCUUGGAGGAUUGGAUCAGCUCAGGGACAGGGGCCGAGGCUGGCCUGGAGACUUGAAGGCGGUCUUGCUUGGGUCAUUGAGGGCAGGUCUGGGACCAAGAACUUCUCUGACAGCCAUGGGCUUGGAGUAAAUCUAGUGGAGCUGGCAGUGAGGCCUGAAGGGAGGCCUGAGCUGCAAAGGGAACAAGGGAGGAGAAUGCAUCAGGAAGAGUUUGGGGAAGCCACCUGAGUCUUCACAGGGACCCGGGACAGGGUGGAUGGAGCAGCAGCGGGCAGUGCCUCUCUGCUGCCCUCUAGUGGCCGCCUCACCCAUUUCACUCGAAAGCAGGAAGCUCAGGCACCUGGCAUUCGCGGAAAUUCUCUUUACUCCACUACAAGGAUCUGAUGUUGCUGAGGACAAACCGUGUGCCCAGCACUGCUCUGGGUGCUGGGACCCAUCUACGGGCCCUUCCUUCUGGUGCUUGUAUAGCUCAGGGGGGGAGUUGGAGAAGUGAACGUGUAAUGCAGUGAGACAGGUACUAUGCUAGGUAGGGCUGGGCAGGGCUGUGGAAACACCCAGAAGGCGGGCAGGGUUGCUACGCACCUAGUUCGUGCCAGGCGUGGUGCUCGUCGUUGAGGAGGAGUGCUGAUUAAGCCAUCUGCUCUUCAGGACAUUUCAUGCUGGUGUAUCGGGUGGGUGCGGGGUAGAGUGGAGUGUAGGCAGUCAGGGCAGGCUUUCUCAAGUGGGAGACACGUAAGCUGAGCUCUGGUUGGGUGUGGCGGGGGUGAGUUCCAGGUAGUAGGAAUGGCAGACACAAAGAGGGCAUCAGAGAGGGUCGAAGAGGUUCUGGAGGCUUCAUGGGGGAAUGUAGCAGGAGACAGAUGGGAAAUGGACAAGCACGAUCGAGGCCGUGUUGCCAGGGAGUUUGGGGUUUGUCCUAAGGGCAGUGGGGAGCUAUGGAUGUGACCUGAGGAGAGGAGGGGUUAGAUUUGAGUUUCAGGCUGACAGUUUGGCUAUUUCAGCCCAGAUGGAAUUUUGAGGAGCUUAUAAUGAGUUCUGGUCAAUUUUAGACAAGUGAUAAGAACCCAAAGCUCAGGGACCCUUAGACCAGGAUCCCUAACCCCUUGGUGCAGCUCGAGUUAGCACUGCAGUGACUGGGAAGCCAGGCAGAGGCUUGGCUGGGGUGACAGGGACACCUCGGAGAAGGAACAGCCCUGAAGGGGGGUCACCCUGAGCCCCGGAGAAGCUCUGAGGGGAUGUGCUCAUGGGCUGCACGUCUGCAGGAGACUCUCACCUGUCCCGUGUGGCUGUGGGGGGACACGCACAUCCGCACAUCGGAAGUGAGCUUCUAAGAGGUGGAGCCUGGUCCCAGGGAGGGAAAAAUGUGUCAUGGUGGGGGAACAACUCUUCUGGAGGCAGAAGGAGAGGACUAGGACACCUUGGAGACAGACGAUGGUGGUGAGAGUCCAGGAUUCUGCAUGUGAGUGUGCGUGUGUGCACGCAUGUGCGUCCUUGACUUAGUACCAAAGGAAGCCCAUCCCAAGGAGAUGCAGUCUGUUUAUCCCUUCCCACCCAAGGCCUUUGAUGUUCACUCUGGGGUCAAGUUCACUGAACAUCAAGCUCAUUGGGAGGGGGACCUUCUGAGCUGGGGGAUUGGAGGCGUACUGUGCUCGGGAGAUGCCAGGGGUGGGGGACUGCUCCCGUCCCAAUAAAGGAUCCUGAAGGCCCUUCUUCUUGAAA